GACGAACGCUGGCGGCGUGCCUAAUACAUGCAAGUAGAACGCACAGUUUAUACCGUAGCUUGCUACACCAUAGACUGUGAGUUGCGAACGGGUGAGUAACGCGUAGGUAACCUGCCUGGUAGCGGGGGAUAACUAUUGGAAACGAUAGCUAAUACCGCAUAAUAUUGAUUAUUGCAUGAUAAUUAAUUGAAAGGUGCAAUUGCACCACUACCAGAUGGACCUGCGUUGUAUUAGCUAGUAGGUGAGGUAACGGCUCACCUAGGCGACGAUACAUAGCCGACCUGAGAUGGUGAUCGGCCACACUGGGACUGAGACACGGCCCAGACUCCUACGGGAGGCAGCAGUAGGGAAUCUUCGGCAAUGGACGAAAGUCUGACCGAGCAACGCCGCGUGAGUGAAGAAGGUUUUCGGAUCGUAAAGCUCUGUUGUAAGAGAAGAACGGGUGUGAGAGUGGAAAGUUCACACUGUGACGGUAUCUUACCAGAAAGGGACGGCUAACUACGUG
RNAcentral lists this ribosomal RNA (505 nucleotides) under uncultured bacterium. RNAcentral describes it as "partial 16S ribosomal RNA". It matches the Rfam family "Bacterial small subunit ribosomal RNA", at positions 28 to 507 of the family's 1533-position model. The record is from RNAcentral.